UGCACCGAUAGCUCAAUUGGAUAGAGCACCUGGCUUCGGACCAGGGGGUUUGAGGUUCAAAUCCUCAUCGGUGCGU
Molecule: transfer RNA, 76 nt
Filed under: Candidatus Anoxychlamydiales bacterium
Lineage: Bacteria; Pseudomonadati; Chlamydiota; Chlamydiia; Candidatus Anoxychlamydiales
Description: tRNA-Arg
Rfam family: tRNA
About the family: Transfer RNA (tRNA) molecules are approximately 80 nucleotides in length. Their secondary structure includes four short double-helical elements and three loops (D, anti-codon, and T loops).
Source: RNAcentral